CUAGGAUCAGAUUGGAUCCCCACGCCACUGAUUUUUCGAAGUCCACGCUUCAUCAGGAUUGGAUCCCCACGCGGCCACGCCUCCACAUCCACAAGCCAUCCCCAGAAGCGGCGACACCGCCGCCUCCGCCUCCGCCUCCACCUCCACCUCCACCUCCGCCUCCACUCGCCAUCACCGGUGGAGGGAACGCGUCGCCCUCAGCUCCGCCUCGACAAGCCCCGCCCUCCAGUCACCUCCGUCUGGACCUACCUCACCCUCCAAUCGCCAUCGCUGGCGGCGGCGACGCGCGACCACCUCCACACUGGUAGCGCCCACUCGUGACAACCUCCGUUCGCCUCCACCUAGACGUCGACCUCCUUCCACCAAGCACUACCGGCUGAGAGCGUCCGCAGAUGGACGCUAAUCCAAACACCGUCCAGACCGGUGCAGCCACUUCAAACAUAUCGAACCGAGCGACAGAAAAAAGGGAGAAAAAUUACGGCGGCGCUAGGGUAGGGCGCCGCCGCCGCCCACAUUGAUCCUGGAGGCCGUCGCCGCUGCCGCCGACGCCGUCCAGAUCGACCCCGGGAGGUCAUCGCCUCCUUCCAACCUGACACAGGUAGACCAUCUCCGCCGUUUGCCUCAACAUCGAGAGGCUGUAGCAGACGCCCACCCCCGGGAGGCCCUCACGACCGCCCGCAUCGAUUCUGGAGGACGCUGCCAUUGGCGGCUUCCAAUUUGGGAGGCCGAAGGUUGCUGUCUUCCCCGGAGGCUGCUGCUGCUAUCUGCCUCGACUCCUGUCUCGUUGUUGUCGUCUUCCUUCUUCCUUAGAGAUUGCAGCCAUCGUGGACCUCCACGGCCAGAACUUCACCCAGAACUCCUAAUCAGCUUGAAAAUGGCUGACGAUGGUCGGUUCAGUGAUUUACUAUGGAUGCCUCAUGGCCAACACAAAGUAUCUAAAAUUUCAGAAAAUUUCACCUAUUGCCGGCCGGCGAGCAGCCAACGAACUUGCCGCUGAAGACGCCGUGGCUGGAUUGAUGGCGCUGAGUAAUGAACAAAUCCAAGGCGCCGGCGUCGACAACGACAGUACGGCGUGGUUUGCAGGGUGAAGCGUACGGAUCGAAGGCGAACAGGCGCAUACGACGAUGCCGGCGAUCCCUAACCCUAGCUAGGUCGAACAACUUUUGUUUCGAUACUUCUCUUAGCGUAUCGGUAGCGUCUUGAGGGUCUGGCUGCACCAGGAAGAUGGACGCUGUUUGAAAGAGCUUCCAGAUCUGGACGCUGUUUGUAAGAGCAUCCAUGUCUCCAUCGUAUUUUGGUUAAUCUUCUCAAAGAAUUACUAAUUAUUUAAUUUAAAUAUUAUUAAUUAUUAUAAAUAAAAAAUUCGGCCAAUUUGAUGUCGUUAUUCAAUUAAAAAUUAGGUAUGAAGUCAAAAGGCAUGGAUUUACAUGUGGGUUUUGUGUUUUGUCGUGAUUUGUUACCUAUAUUUAAAUGUGGUUUAGCAUGAGCAACAUAUAUUUAAAUGUAAUUUGGCAUGAGCAUGGAAUAACUAGCUAGAUAUGAGUUGCAUAGUUCUCAUGAAGCCUGAAUGUGUGAGUAAAUGGUAUUAGUAUGAUCACUUUAGUUUGUGACAUAAUUGACUGUACAGAAUCAAAGUUUACUUGAGAGACCUAACAAACUAAUUUUCAAUGUCUAAAUCAAAAUUUAUCUGUAGAGCAUAUCUUUAAUGCAUAUUCUCUUUUUUUUAAUAAACCAGUGUGAUAUGUCAAUAAAACUAGUGGUUGCAGCUGAACAUUUAAGCCAAGUUUAUUGCCAAAUCAUGUACUGAUAGAACACUGCUACCUUUCCAAGUGAGUCAAUAUAGUUGUGCUUCAAAAUCUUAUAGUACCAUAUAAUAUUUCUUUCAUUAACAUUUUAUUGAGCCCUAGAACUAAUUCUAGGAAUGAAUUUUAAUAGGGAACACUAACUUAUGCAUUGAAGAUUCAGUUUCAUAUAUGGAGGAAAAUCGUAGUUGGAUGUAUAGAGAAUGAAAAGGUAGGUUAUACAGCCAAGUAUGGGCUACUGGGGUAGAUCAUUUUGUAGAGCAUGCGUUUUCAUUACCUGAGGCAUUGAGUGAUGGGACAUCAAGGUGUCCAUGUAGGAAAAUGUGUGUGCUCGCACAAGAGAAAGAGAGAAGAGGUAACAAUGCACUUGCUGCAGAAUGGUUUCCAGCAAGGAUAUUAUGCAUGUACUGGAGUACACCAAGUUUCAGGAAGAUGUCAAUGCGUGGCAAGGAGAAUCGGUUGGUAGGAGGUAACACUGUAUACCAUCGUAGCGGAUCACGUGGCUUAUUAGGGACUCGACAAUUCCUAAAGACCAAAAAUGGAGUUGAUCCUGGGCAGGCAGGAGCAUGGCAUCAUCAACACCGAAUGGAACAUGACGGGCCAAGAGGGCUCUGCUGUGAGAAAACUGCUAUUUUUUAGGCAAAAUAUGAUAAUGCAAUGAGAGAGAAAUAUGAUGAGGAUUGGCUAGCGAAGAAUCUAGACAUAGAUCAUGCAGUUGUACAUGACAUAUCAGGCCUGCCCCAUGGGAGAUUUGCAAAUGGGAGAUAGUGUAGUCAGUACAAUUGACAUAAGGGCAUUGUAUUGUAACAAAUCUCCUGGGAAGUCGUCAUCAAGCUCAAUGUAUGGUGCAUCAAGCUCCUCAAAAAGAAAAGCAUGUGAAUUAAAUCAUGGAGAUGGUGGUUCUGCUCAUGAUGAUGUUAGAGACUAUGGUGUUGAUCAUGUUGAUGAUAAUGGAGAGUAUUAUGGUGACGAUCAUGAUGAUGUUAUGCAUGGCUGAAGUCAUAUUCUUGACAUUCGUUCCAACUGAUUAGCUUUAGAUUCAUUAAGAAAACUAUUUGUUUUAAGCCAAAUGUUUGGCUAAUUGUACUAUACUGAUCGAGUAGUGGAAAACUCUAGAAAACUCACAGUAUUUGUUUGGUCAUGAAUCUUGUUCAUAUUUACUAUUAAACUACAUUACUAGAAAACUGCCAAAAUAAACUUCCUAUGUUGGGAAUCCAA
This is a non-coding RNA of Oryza sativa Japonica Group (Japanese rice), 3020 nucleotides long. NCBI's taxonomy places the organism in Eukaryota, Viridiplantae, Streptophyta, Magnoliopsida, Poales, Poaceae. The record is from RefSeq and is a predicted model, not a curated record.